UCCUGAUAACUCGGGCUGGUUUCUGCAUU
Molecule: non-coding RNA, 29 nt
Filed under: Rattus norvegicus (Norway rat)
Lineage: Eukaryota; Metazoa; Chordata; Mammalia; Rodentia; Muridae
Source: RNAcentral